This 1779-nucleotide long non-coding RNA is filed under the name Vigna radiata. Its description in RNAcentral is "long non-coding RNA (VRAD_LNC012013)". Lineage: Eukaryota; Viridiplantae; Streptophyta; Magnoliopsida; Fabales; Fabaceae. The record is from RNAcentral.
GAAAACAUAGUGGUGUAUAUAUAAAAAGAUGGGUGCCCAGAUGGUAAAGGGUGUAACUUAGAAAAACAAGGGGUGCAAAUUUAAUUUUGUUAAAUAUCAAAUUGGGUUUGAGCACAAUAAAUAAAAAAACGUGACUUAGGUAAAAUAGGGGGUGUAGGGAACAAUUAGCGUUUUUGCUCUGCCAUAAUGGGCUCAGCAUUGGCCCAGACAGAAAAUAAAAAAAAACGGAUAGGGGGUGGGGUGAGUGAAAACGGAGGUGCGGAAGUUAAUCUAAACCUAAAAAAGAAAACUAAAACAAAACAAAAAAACCUAAAUCUAAACCUAAUUUCAGAAACCCCUUAGGGGUUCUCUCAGACUCUCUCAUUUCUCACAUUCACUCUUGGGAAAACCUAGAGCUUCUCCCAGGGAAAAACGAAGACCCCACCCUCUUGCAAGGCCGCCGUGGCCUCAGCCAUUCCUUGCCUCUCCGACCACCUCCUGACCCCAAAGCUUCGCCGGAAACACCAGAGGUCGCCGGAAACACCAGAGGUCGCCGGAAACACCAGAGGUCGCCGGAGACACCAGAGGUAGCCGAAAACACAACUAGCCGUGGCACCCUUGAAUUCUUCCCUUCUUCUCGCGUGCUCAAGGCAAAUGCCAUUACUGGAACUGAGUGUCUUCGCCGUUCUCCGAUAGCCACCGUCAAGGUCAAUCCCCUGCGCCGCCGAAGCCAUCGUGACUUCCAGACGCUCAACCAUGGCAGCCACUACGUCGUCAAUUGUUCGCGCACUGUGUCGUCUACGUCGUCCAAAUCAACUCCAAUCCCAACUCCGACGAAACCCCUAACCUCCCUUGCUUCACGAUUCAAUCUCCGUUGUCCUUGCGCCUUACGGGUUCAACAAAAUGUUCUCACUCCUAGCGACCAUUACCAGCAAACUCAAACGCUGAUAUUACCCGUGCCAUUGUUGCAUACACGCAACUUAUCCCCUGCUUCCCCAAAUCGUACCAAAUUUCGCAUUUGAUUUCAACGCAUUUUGAUUGGUAUCCUCUAUUUUCUUAUUGGAAGUUGUUGUAUCAAAAAUUGUGAUGAGAACAGGAUUACUAUAUCAAAUGGAUUGAAAGUGUUAUCUGAGAUUGCUCUUGUUUGUAUUGUUUCUGUUUUGGGUAAUUUGAAAUAGGGAUAUGAUGAAUUUAGGGCCAGGUUUUUCUGUUGGGAUGAAACAGCUAUGAAGUUCUUCACGGUGUAAGUGAAAGUUGAUGAUGGUAACGGGGUUGGGCUGCGUGCGAGAGAGGUUUUCUUUCUUUUGCUGGUUUGGUCUCUUUUUUUAUUAAUACAAGGGCGUUGGUCUUGGUGUAACAAGAGAACUGAAACUGGGGUUGUUGGUGUUAGGGUCGUGUGUGAAGAUUAUUUGAUGGUUUUGAUGGUGGGGAAAACUCAGAGUGAUACGGGAUAAUGGUAGUAAUACAAAAAAAAUGGUAGAGAUCAUCAAUGGAGGAUGAAAAGAAUGCAGGGAUUUUCACAUCAUAACCAUGCUCAGACCCAACAACAUCAAUACUAAUAUAAAGAUACAUAAUGCAGCAAGCAUUGAUGACAUGAACAUAGUAUGUUUACCUUUUAAAGCUUUGUGUAUUGCUGAAAGUCUUGUUUUCGGUGAUCUUUUUUUAUCGCUUGAGUGCUCUUUUCCCCUUUUUUAGGUCAAUCCCCAAUAAUCGUCCCCAAAAAAAAUCUCUUACUGUUCCCCUCUUUUUUUGAUACUUUAACCGUUCUCUUCCUCUUUUUUUACCAAAACCCUAAAACCC